GUAGGGAAUAUUGGGCAAUGGUCGGAAGACUGACCCAGCCAUGCCGCGUGCAGGAAGACGGCCCUCUGGGUUGUAAACUGCUUUUAUCUGGGAAGAAAAAGGCCAUGCGUGGCAAAUUGCCGGUACCAGAUGAAUAAGCACCGGCUAACUCCGUGCCAGCAGCCGCGGUAAUACGGAGGGUGCGAGCGUUGUCCGGACUUAUUGGGUUUAAAGGGUGCGUAGGCGGCUGAUUAAGUCAGCGGUGAAAGACUUCGGCUUAACCGGAGCAGUGCCGUUGAUACUGGUUGGCUUGAGUGUCGGAGGGGUACAUGGAAUUGAUGGUGUAGCGGUGAAAUGCAUAGAUACCAUCAGGAACACCGAUAGCGAAGGCAUUGUACUGGCCGACAACUGACGCUGAUGCACGAAAGUGUGGGGAUCGAACAGGAUUAGAAACCCGGGUAGUCC
Molecule: ribosomal RNA, 444 nt
Filed under: uncultured bacterium
Lineage: Bacteria
Description: partial 16S ribosomal RNA
Rfam family: Bacterial small subunit ribosomal RNA
Source: RNAcentral